GGAGAUGUACUCAAGCUGGUCGAAGAGGUCGCACUCGAAAUGCGAUAGGGCCCGAGAGGGUCGCUAGGGUUCGAAUCCCUACAUCUCCGCCA
Molecule: transfer RNA, 92 nt
Filed under: Candidatus Ruthenibacterium avium
Lineage: Bacteria; Bacillati; Bacillota; Clostridia; Eubacteriales; Oscillospiraceae
Description: tRNA-Ser
Rfam family: tRNA
About the family: Transfer RNA (tRNA) molecules are approximately 80 nucleotides in length. Their secondary structure includes four short double-helical elements and three loops (D, anti-codon, and T loops).
Source: RNAcentral